GUGAAGCUGGGGUUUUGGCCUUUUCCCACAGCCCGAGGCCCGGGCCCCCAAGCUCUUCUCUACCGGCAGCCCGCUCCUUGAUGCACCGUUCUGGCCUGGCGUCCCCAGGGCACUCAUCUGCUUCAGCGUCUGAGACCAGGAGCAAAUUUGUAUGAGGAUGGCCUUGAGCAACCCAGACCCCAAGCCCAGUUUGGAAGCAGCGACUCUGGGAGAAGGGUGGCUUUCUGCAUCACAGUUUUGCAGGUUCUGGCAAUCGGCUAUCACCACAGGUCAGUGGACUGGGUCCUGGAAGGCACCAGCCAUGGAGCACUAACCGCAGAGCUGGACUCCAGACCCGGCUGCGCCUGCCCACCCAACACACCGGCCACUGCUGACCCUCUGUCCCUGGCCAGCCACGCUCAUGGCCUCUGCCCUCCCUCCCUGGCCAGCCACGCUCACGGCCUCUGCCCUCCCUCCCUGGCCA
Cervus elaphus (red deer) is the source of this 463-nucleotide long non-coding RNA. RefSeq lists it as uncharacterized. The transcript is spliced from 3 exons. The record is from RefSeq and is a predicted model, not a curated record. Lineage: Eukaryota; Metazoa; Chordata; Mammalia; Artiodactyla; Cervidae.